AUACUUGGUGGCGAUGAGGCUCGCCGUAAGUGUCGGUAUGACUAAUAGCCUCUACUUGAAC
Molecule: non-coding RNA, 61 nt
Filed under: Thermanaerothrix daxensis
Lineage: Bacteria; Bacillati; Chloroflexota; Anaerolineae; Anaerolineales; Anaerolineaceae
Description: Fluoride sequence
Rfam family: Fluoride riboswitch aptamer (crcB RNA motif)
Source: Rfam by way of RNAcentral